RNAcentral lists this ribosomal RNA (426 nucleotides) under uncultured bacterium. Its description in RNAcentral is "bacterial SSU rRNA". It matches the Rfam family "Bacterial small subunit ribosomal RNA", at positions 356 to 773 of the family's 1533-position model. The record is from RNAcentral.
AGGGAAUCUUCGGCAAUGGACGAAAGUCUGACCGAGCAACGCCGCGUGAGUGAAGAAGGUUUUCGGAUCGUAAAACUCUGUUGUUAGAGAAGAACAAGGAUGAGAAGAGAAUGUUCAUCCCUUGACGGUAUCUAACCAGAAAGCCACGGCUAACUACGUGCCAGCAGCCGCGGUAAUACGUAGGUGGCAAGCGUUGUCCGGAUUUAUUGGGCGUAAAGCGAGCGCAGGCGGUUCUUUAAGUCUGAUGUGAAAGCCCUCGGCUUAACCGGGGAGGGUCAUUGGAAACUGGGGAACUUGAGUGCAGAAGAGGAGAGUGGAAUUCCAUGUGUAGCGGUGAAAUGCGUAGAUAUAUGGAGGAACACCAGUGGCGAAGGCGGCUUUCUGGACUGUAACUGACGCUGAGGCAUGAAAGCGUGGGGAGCAAAC